RNAcentral lists this long non-coding RNA (513 nucleotides) under Rattus norvegicus (Norway rat). RNAcentral describes it as "long non-coding RNA NONRATT033851". Lineage: Eukaryota; Metazoa; Chordata; Mammalia; Rodentia; Muridae. The record is from RNAcentral.
GUGAAGUAGCCCUAGCUCUUCUGCUCAAGGAUUACAUCCAAACGUCUUCCUGCUACAUGUAUUCUGAGACAUUCCUCCACUGAAGAAAGGGGCCUUGGCCUUUUCCUAUCUGACCAAAGUCUUCAUAGCCCAAAGAUAACUGUCAGAAUAAAAUCCAACCUGUUGGAAUAAUGGAAGAAUUGCUGCCUGGACUUUCGAACAGCACACACAAUACAUGGACAUUCUCAAUACUGAAGAAGAAUAGGAAGCUGAUCAAACAAUACUGGAACUUCCUCUGCUCCACAAGAGAUGUCCUGUCCUACAUGCAGAGGAAUGUGUAGAUGGACAUAUAUUUGAAGAAGACACUGAACCUAAGACUACUACUGCAUUAUAGCCUCUUAGAAGACUUCUAAGACUGCUACCAUGCCUACCACGGACAUUCAGAAGAUGUGUAUUCUUGACUGUGAUUUCAAGUUUGGAGUUGAUGAUGUAGUGAGUGGCUGGAAUAUUCUAUAAUUUUCAAGGUACCAAUCA